UGGGGGAUCGUCUAAUGGCAGGACCUCAGCCUUUGGAGCUGAUUGUCAUGGUUCGAAUCCAUGUCCCCCAG
This 71-nucleotide transfer RNA is filed under the name Candidatus Roizmanbacteria bacterium. RNAcentral describes it as "tRNA-Gln". It matches the Rfam family "tRNA". From Rfam's summary of the family: Transfer RNA (tRNA) molecules are approximately 80 nucleotides in length. Their secondary structure includes four short double-helical elements and three loops (D, anti-codon, and T loops). Further hydrogen bonds mediate the characteristic L-shaped molecular structure. tRNAs have two regions of fundamental functional importance: the anti-codon, which is responsible for specific mRNA codon recognition, and the 3' end, to which the tRNAs corresponding amino acid is attached (by aminoacyl-tRNA synthetases). tRNAs cope with the degeneracy of the genetic code in two manners: having more than one tRNA (with a specific anti-codon) for a particular amino acid; and 'wobble' base-pairing, i.e. permitting non-standard base-pairing at the 3rd anti-codon position. The record is from RNAcentral. Lineage: Bacteria; Candidatus Roizmaniibacteriota.